GACGUCCGGUGGGGAAUUAUCCGAGGAGCCCUAACUUGUAUAAAAGCAGAGUCCAUUUAAAGUUGGGCUGGAUAGCCUCUCUCUCAUUGGUUAGGGGGCUUGGAAAAAAGAGACUCGGCGAGCCCUCGCUGUGGUGCUGCCGCCGCCGCCGCCGCCGCCGCCGCUGGAGUUGACUCUUCUGCUCGCACUGCUGCUGCAGCACAAACGUGACUUCCAACAUUUUUUAUUUAUCUUUCCCUUUUCUUUUCCAAGAUGUAACUACAGCUCAGACACUAAGGACCUUCACGUUUCGCUGAUGUAGUUUUUGGAGGAAAAAGGGGGGGGAGUGAAGGGCGUCGGUUUUUUUUUGUGUGUGUGUGUUUCGGGGGAAAUUUUCCAUUAUGAGUGUUUUACUAAAGUGAAUUUUUUUUUUGUUUGCUUCGUCUUUGGCUUUUUUUUUUUUCCCUUCCCAAUUUCGGAUUUAUUUCAAGGCGAAUCAGGCUUUGGGGAAAGAGGAAGAAAAGUCGGAUUACAAGAUCAGCCACCACCAACAACAAUAAAAACCACCAAGAUAUUUUUUUGCAAAUUUCUGACGGCUUUAAAUUCAUGAAGCAAUUGUCCCCUUUUGCAAUCAGCAUUUGGAUCUCAGAAUGAGCAAGGAAAGACCCAAGAGGAAUAUCAUCCAGAAGAAAUACGACAGCUCAAUUUGGACAAGUCAUUGCUUCGUGUGACUGAACAUAUGAAGCUGUCCUACUGAACAGUCCAGAUCUGUGUAACCAGAGCUGUAUUUCACGUAGCAUGGUGUCUGCGUUGGUGAAAAACAUCAAGUCCUACAAAAUCGAACAGUAAAAAUUACAGGGUUAAUGGAAAAAUAAGGAUGAAACAUGUCACUCAAAACAUAGGCAACUUUGGUAAAACGAACCAUAAUGAGUUAGUAAUCUGGAUCUGGAAAAAUGACAUGAAGUGCUCAGGAUCGUAGCAACAGCUCUUGUACUAACCACCUUCCACCUACCUAGCCUACCCAGUUCUGGCUGAAGGACAUCCUGGCUGUGACAUCCCUGCAUGAAGCUCCCUGCCAAUGGGCAGGCCCGGGGAGUGUGUGCCUCUGUCCCCUUUGGCGCUUACCCAUAUAGAAGGCUUGCCAGGUGCCAGUUGUUUGUUCCCAAAUCUGGUUAUUCCAGUUAGACCUACUGCAAUUUCAGUUAAAUAUUAUAUAAACCUUUGAACGAGUGUGACAAAAGAGUUGGUUUCUAUGAAAACUUGAAGCUGAAUGGGAACCCUUGAUAAAAGUGAAUUACUGUAAAAACGAGAUUGUUAAAUUAGAUGUGGGCCUACUAUUUAAAAGACUUGGGAGAAAUCUGUAAGAUUUCGCACCCAUUCUGCUUUGCAGGUGGUUCCAUUUUAAGAACCAAGCUUCAUUUAUGGCUGAACUCCCUUCCCAACAAACAAAAAAGCUUGACAUGGAGUACCACGAAUUCUCAAAAUUAUCUGUAACAAGAACUUCCCUGGUGGUCCAGCGGUUAAGAAUCCCUCUUCUAAUGCAGAGGACACUGGUUCGAUCCCUGUUUUGGGAACUAAGAUCCGGCAUGCCUCGAGGCAGCUAAGUUGGGACACCACAGUAGAAGCCUCUGUGAUGCAGCUGAGACCU
This is a non-coding RNA of Odocoileus virginianus texanus, 1627 nucleotides long. NCBI's taxonomy places the organism in Eukaryota, Metazoa, Chordata, Mammalia, Artiodactyla, Cervidae. The record is from RefSeq and is a predicted model, not a curated record.